CCCUUAUUAGAUUGUUGCUAAAAUUUGUGUUAUUUUAUAUUUAUACUCUUGAUUUUGCUUAAUUUCACCUCCAAUUUCAUUCCUUUUUAUCCGCGUUGUCCUACAAUUCGAUUGAUAACCAAUGUUAUGUGAUUUGACAUUGAAAUGGCCUAUUUCAGGAAAUUAUAAUUGAUAUUAGGUUACUGUAUUUGGUUUGUUUUGCUUAUGAAUUUUGGGUGAUUGUUCAGAAAUCAGUGAAUAUUGUCAAAUCAGUAUCCCUGAUUGAUGAUUAUUAGAUAUACAUGUUGCAUGCCUUAGUUAUGGUAGUGAUGAUCUUUAAUUUGGAUUUGAUUGUUGAGAGUGGGGAUAUAGAAAGAGAUUAUGUUCAUCAAGUGUGACAUUAAAUUUGAGGUGGAAACUAGGUGGCUCAGGUUUUUUCUUUUUUUUCGUUGUUUGAUGUCAUUUAAUGGCUGGAUGAGUAUAAUGCAUUGUUUGAUAUGAUUUAGGGAUGGCGAAGAAGUAGAAGUGUGUAUGUUUCCGUAGUUUUUUUGUGGUUGAUGGGUGCUUGUCAUAUAGUUGCCAUAGGGCAAGUCAAGCUACAAAUCUUUGGAUAUUGAGACAAAAGGUGGUAGCGAAUCUUGGGAGAAAUGGUUCUCAUUAAGUCUAUCAAAUUUAGUGUUACUUAAUUUGCUAAUCAAUUAUUUUACUUGCGUCCUGUUGCUUUCUUUACGAUUGGGAAGUGCUUAAUACUCCCGCCGUCCCUUAUUUUUUUGCCCCAUUGGGGUGAUGUUACUUGUUUAAUUUUUAGUUUGAAAAAGUUGAUUAGAGGGAAAUAUGGUAGAGCCAAAUGUAGUUGGUGUGAGAGUAAAGUAGAUGUCUCAUAUAACCAUUUAUGAUGUGGAUCAAACUAAAAAGGAAAUUGGGGCAAACAUUUAGGGAUAGAGGGAGUACAAAAUAUAGGUCUAUAAUUAGUGUAAUAUCUCAAGAAAAUUUUACGCACAUCCAUAGGAUGAAUAUAGCCUUAAGUUCAGAUUCAUACUCUCAUCUUAUCUUUUCGAGCAAUGCAAGUUUGGUAUUAAUGAAGAUUAUGGUGUGAACCGGACUAAAAGAGAGAUAUUGUACUAUUUGCAUUUUGUGCCACAUCUAACAAUCUCACAAUGUUCCCCUUUUUUUUUUUUUCUUCUCUCUCUCUCUUUAUCCUGGCAUUUUAUUGCUUGUUUGUCAUGCAAAAUACUUGUCUUCCUUUAGAUUAUAGUUUCUUCACUCUUUAGCAGAUUGUUUGUUUUGGAUUGUUCCUGUGCUCUAUAUGGAUUAUAUUAUAUGCUUUUUUAUCCUAGCAAAUGGCAAUCCACUUAAAAACUAUAUGUUUUUUUUUUUUUUUUUGCUUAGGUUAUCUAAUAUUCCAGCGCACGUUUCCUUUGCAAGUAUAUCUAAUUGUUAUGCUGCGAACAUAUACUAUUGUUGUGAUGUUUUUGUUGCUUGAUGUCAGUGGUAAGACUUUGUUACUGCUUAAGACUCGUAAUAGAAAGAACUACAUAGUAUAUGGCAUUCAAUAAUUUCAAGUUCAUUAUGAAUUUGAUGGUUGAAUUAGCUAUCAUUAUCAACCCGUUUGGCAAGCUCACGUAAUUUGCUUUUGAGUUUUAACACCUAAUCAAAGAGGGCAAGCAGUAUAUUUUGAAUGAAUAGUUAUACUAUGAGGAUUCUUUAGUAAAGGAAUUGCUUUAAAAUUUGAAGGUCAGUUUUAUUUCAAAUCAACAAGUGUAAUUUAUUUGUGGAAUGCACUGUUUGUUGUGAAACCAAAUUGAGGACAAUAAAAAAAAGUAUGAUGGGACUAAAAAAGCUCAAGACUAUCAAGCAGUUCUAUGAUAUGGAUUACUGAAAGUCUCUUGUCAAGAAAGGAAGCAUCCACUGUAUCAUAAUGUACAUAAGAAAAUUGCAACUGACAAGAAGUAUUAGUAGAUCAGUGGAAGUCGUGAAACAUUCUUGUUGAGGUCACAAAGAAGCUUAUCUAAUGCCAUUCGGUAGCACCAUCCCAUGUCUUAGCAGAACCAUCUAGUGCUGCCAAAGCAGUCUGUAAUGUGCCCUGGGUCAGCUAGAUAGUCCACAAUAGAAGCCAGCUAAAUGCUCUGCAUAAUCAUAAAGUAUGGACUUUGGAAGUGGUGAUUAAAUAUAUACUUGUGGUGCUCUGCAACCCGAAAGAUCCUGUUCAUAUUCCAUAGGUUACUUCUAUCUGUAAGAGAACAUUUUUCUUUGAGCUUUUUAGAUUUUUUUUGUCUUUAAAUAUCGGUAGAGCCUGAAUGCAUUAAUCCUAUUUUUGACAUUUUACAUAAAAUGAUUCAUGGAGUUGAGCCCCUGCCACCCAAACCUGCAAGGGCUGCUAUUGAGAUAAAAUUGGAAAACGGGGAAAUGCUGGACGCACAAAGAGUAUUAUCUGUUGUAAUUUUGUUGACGAACAAAUAACAGAAAUACCGUUGAUGAUUCCGGGAAGUGGUGAUCUUGUUAUUAUGUCUUCUGUGAUUAAUGGGUGCUUAGCACUAUAUCGCUAUAAGAUUGAUCAGCCUCGCGAGGUUUGGAUAUUGAAGCAAAAGAGUGAUGGUAACUUCCUUGAGAAAUUGUUCUCAGUCCCUUGCAGUAGUGUACUAUACCCCUUGUGGAUGAAUUUCUCCCCAAGUGGCAAGUGUUUGGUUAAACAUGCACAACAGCUCAAGUUGGUUGACCCGGCUGUAGAAGAUAUUGAACCUUUCCAUGUAUCGAUUUUGAUCGGUCCGUGUUUGCAGUACACCAGCAUGUUGAAAGUCUCAUCUCACCCUUUGGGACUGCACACAACUCUUAAUGAUGAAGACAAUGAUGCUAACAUCACAACUUAAAAUAAUCAAACAUGUGAACAGCUUGCCAAAUUGUAAGAUAUUGAAAUUCCUGAACUUACUCUGCAACUUGACAAUUCUGAGAGGCGGUGAGUAAGAUCAAUGGUGGCGGCUGAUUAUCACCUGUAUGCUGUAGCUUCUCUCUCCGUGCUUGGCCAUGUCUGGGCCCUGAACUUCCGAUGCCAGAUGGUGGUACUGGGGUUAAAGAUGGUGAACCUUGAACCGUUUUUUUUUUUGACGCAGAAACUUUGAACUUUAGUUUGGCGAAGUUUGUUUUCAUUCCCUUGUUGAACCAAAUAUAAAACUUACAGAAUUCAAAGCUCAAUUCUCAUUACUUCCCUUUCUUCUUUGUUGAUUAA
Molecule: RNA transcript, 3202 nt
Organism: Chenopodium quinoa (quinoa)
Lineage: Eukaryota; Viridiplantae; Streptophyta; Magnoliopsida; Caryophyllales; Amaranthaceae
Gene name: F-box/kelch-repeat protein At3g23880-like
Exons: 3
Source: RefSeq, a predicted model, not a curated record